Molecule: small nucleolar RNA, 246 nt
Organism: Neurospora tetrasperma FGSC 2509
Lineage: Eukaryota; Fungi; Ascomycota; Sordariomycetes; Sordariales; Sordariaceae
Rfam family: Small nucleolar RNA snR191
Source: Rfam
UCCCAGGGAUUUUGUCAGGAUCUUUCCCGCAUUCAGUUGUGCUUCAUUGGGAUUGGUCUGUUACAUCGCUGGGAGAUUAAUAUCCACCUCCCAACCUCCCUGGUCCCGUCUUGGGAUUGGGGAUUUGAUGGACUCCGUUUUGGAGGACUUCACGGGAUACCGGACGUGUUUCGUUUGAGUUGAAUUCCACCCUGCCUUUGAGCAGACUCUACCAUGGUGGUCUUCUUAGUUAUGAUUCACACAUUU